CUGACGGGAGGCAGCGACGUUGGAGAGUCGGAGAGAUGUUCUUCUAGGAGCCAUGAUGCGAAUGUGGGCCUUCUUCUAUCUGUUGCUGUUGAAAUCGAUCUAAAUCGGAGAGAGAGAGAUUGAGCUUUGUGUAGGGCUGCUGGUGCUGGGGUGACCUACAAAAUAAGUCCAAAUUAGAGGUUAUAGCUCCGAUGAAGACUCUCUAACGCUCAAGUCUGAUUCAGAGAACAAUGAAGCAGCAACAAGCUCUCUGAGAGGGGUUGAUUGGCUUACCUAGUCUUUGGGGCUCCGGUGGUUUAUAUAGAAGGCUGUCAAACAGCUGGUUGUACAGUUGUGAGAUUAUGCGAUCCUGAGAUUGCGAAGCCAUUGGACAUGCCAUUGUGGGUGAGAUAAUCCAGCCUUCAAUCACUCCUACGAGAUUGGGGGAGUCAAUUACACCUGAGUUGAUCCACUCGGGGUGGAUAGCUCACUUUGCAUAAUGGUUGGUGGCUAUGGUGGCGGCUUGGCAAUUUAAAGUAGCCUUCGACACCGUACUAAUCUGAGUGCUCAUGGC
This 553-nucleotide long non-coding RNA is filed under the name Elaeis guineensis (African oil palm). RNAcentral's name for it is "long non-coding RNA (EGUI_LNC024720)". The record is from RNAcentral. Lineage: Eukaryota; Viridiplantae; Streptophyta; Magnoliopsida; Arecales; Arecaceae.